RNAcentral lists this unclassified non-coding RNA (219 nucleotides) under Glomus sp. Its description in RNAcentral is "partial contains 5.8S ribosomal RNA and internal transcribed spacer 2". The stretch from base 1 to 65 matches the Rfam family "5.8S ribosomal RNA", at positions 84 to 154 of the family's 154-position model. The record is from RNAcentral. Lineage: Eukaryota; Fungi; Glomeromycota; Glomeromycetes; Glomerales; Glomeraceae.
GUGAAUCAUCAAAUUUUUGAACGCAAAUUGCACUCUCUUCGGAGAGUAUGACUGUUUGUGGGUGAGCCUAAAAAAAAAUUGAAAUUGUUGGUGUUUCGCGGUGACAUUCGUCGGAAAUUGGGUCAUCUUAAGCCUUUGGGGUUUAUGUGGAUUAAAUUUUUCUUUAAGAUUCCACGAAUGUUUCUUAGAUUUACUUCUUAUUCGUUUAAGGUAUUGAUC